AGAAAUUUAGGUUAACUUAAACCGAGAGCCUUCAAAGCUCUAAAUAUGGACCAACCAUAAUUCCUG
This 66-nucleotide transfer RNA is filed under the name Ptenopus garrulus (Whistling gecko). RNAcentral's name for it is "tRNA-Trp". The record is from RNAcentral. Lineage: Eukaryota; Metazoa; Chordata; Lepidosauria; Squamata; Gekkonidae.